CCUACGGGAGGCAGCAGUGGGGAAUAUUGCGCAAUGGGCGGAAGCCUGACGCAGCGACGCCGCGUGGGGGAUGACGGCCUUCGGGUUGUAAACCUCUUUCGCCAUCGACGAAGCCUUCGGGUGACGGUAGGUGGAGAAGAAGCACCGGCCAACUACGUGCCAGCAGCCGCGGUAAUACGUAGGGUGCGAGCGUUGUCCGGAAUUAUUGGGCGUAAAGAGCUCGUAGGCGGUGUGUCGCGUCGGUCGUGAAAACUUGGGGCUUAACCCUGAGCUUGCGGUCGAUACGGGCAUCACUUGAGUUCGGCAGGGGAGACUGGAAUUCCUGGUGUAGCGGUGAAAUGCGCAGAUAUCAGGAGGAACACGGGUGGCGAAGGCGGGUCUCUGGGCCGAUACUGACGCUGAGGAGCGAAAGCAUGGGUAGCGAACAGGAUUAGAUACCCUGGUAGUCCAUGCCGUAAACGGUGGGCGCUAGGUGUGGGGGCCAUUCCACGGUCUCUGUGCCGCAGCUAACGCAUUAAGCGCCCCGCCUGGGGAGUACGGCCGCAAGGCUAAAACUCAAAGGAAUUGACGGGGGCCCGCACAAGCGGCGGAGCAUGUGGAUUAAUUCGAUGCAACGCGAAGAACCUUAC
RNAcentral lists this ribosomal RNA (629 nucleotides) under uncultured Pseudonocardia sp. RNAcentral's name for it is "bacterial SSU rRNA". It matches the Rfam family "Bacterial small subunit ribosomal RNA", at positions 338 to 974 of the family's 1533-position model. The record is from RNAcentral. Lineage: Bacteria; Bacillati; Actinomycetota; Actinomycetes; Pseudonocardiales; Pseudonocardiaceae.